AAGGCUUGAAGAAGCCCAAGGGCGAACCCAGGCCAGGCCUCUCAGGGCUCGGGGGAGGGGAGAGGAGCAGGAAGGGGGCGGUUCCUCACUGGCCCCGCCCACCCCAGGGACGGGGCGCCGAGGGGCCGCUCGCUGGUUUCCGUCGCGGCCUCUUCUCGCGAGAGUGGGAUUCCUUGACUCCACCCCGCCGUGGUCUCACACUUGAUUUUAGCCGAAAGGCGGAGAAGCGAUCCGCCGUGGUCUUACGAGGGUUGUCUCUGGGAGUUACCGCGCGAGGUAGAGGUAUGCUUUCUGCGGUGCGCCUGGUGACUGAGUCGGAGUUCCAGCUGUUGCCUGCGUGGUUCCUUUGAGCGAGGUCUAGGGAGUUCCUAGAAGUCUGAGGACUCCUGGGGGUGCGGUCCCGAUGAACAGUGCGAGAUCUUCAGCCAAAAAGGGUCGCUGAGAACGUUUUGUACUAGCUUCAGUAGAUUUUUUUUGUUUGUGCUAACGGUGUGGAAAGAAAACAACAACAAAAAGACCAUAAAAUAGUGAUGUCCCGAACAUUAUGGAAAAAAGCAGGAGAAACUAAGCUUUAGAAAUGAAAGGUGCUGCCAGCCUGGUUUCCAGGGUUACCGCUGUCCUGAACCUAAAGACCCAGAAUGUGAUGAGCUCCUGUUUUUAAACGCGCUGCUGCUUUUCCGUCAACUGGGCUUCCAGAUACAAAGCCCAGAAGCUUCCCCUCGCUGAAUGGUAACCAGCGCACCGCUACUGACAGCAAACACAGUCUAGCUCUUGCUACAAAAAUGACCAUGGAAGGAUUCUGACUCUCCAAUCCUGAUCACAAACCCACCAUCUGUACUCAUCACUGUGGCCAGAGAGUGCAAUCCCCUAAUACAUGUCAAGAAAACAUGAUGAUGGAUGGAACUGACUGCCCUGCUGUUAUGCAGGUGCUGUGUUCUGUAUGUCAGUAUCCUAGAGAGCAGCACUUGCAUCCCAAGACACAACAGAAGCCAGAGAUCACCAAAGAUCACAUUUUAUGCCAGGGGGAGGUAGUGACCGAAAUACUGAUCCUUAAUAACAUGUGCACAGUGUUCUUUAGCAUCUGGGCAUUACCAGAAUUAUUUAAAAUAUAUAUAUUAAAAUUAUUAGUAUUUUAAAGAAGAUCAAAUAAUGUAUGAUUGUAUUGCAUUCUUACACACUGCUUUUCAAUGCCCUUAUAUCUGGUAUACUUUGUUCUUCCUCCUAGAAUGCAUUUCUCUUUCAUUUUCUAAGCCUUUAAGAUCCUAUCUGAAUGUCUUUUAUGAAAUAGUUUCA
This is a non-coding RNA of Heterocephalus glaber (naked mole-rat), 1293 nucleotides long. The record is from RefSeq and is a predicted model, not a curated record. Lineage: Eukaryota; Metazoa; Chordata; Mammalia; Rodentia; Bathyergidae.